Molecule: long non-coding RNA, 2004 nt
Filed under: Olea europaea subsp. europaea
Lineage: Eukaryota; Viridiplantae; Streptophyta; Magnoliopsida; Lamiales; Oleaceae
Source: RNAcentral
CUUUUACCCAAUAUUCUUCCAUAAAAUUUUUCCUUGCAAAGUAAAAUAGCCAUCAUUAUUAUAACUAAUUAAUAUUGGAUAAAUGGAUACUCGUCUCUUCUAAACAGGAUAGUGCCACAUUAAUUUACAAUUACUAUCAAUCAAAUAUAUCUUCAACACCUUAAUCCACAUUAAUUUAAAUUCUACAUAACGUUAAAUAUUACAAAGAACAAGUACUAUGACAGCUCCUAAGCUGCUAUUUGUCUAUCCAUCUUCAGCAGCAUAAUGACCUAAUUUUAUGCAUUCUUGUGCCUGCUCAAACUCCACAGUGAUGAUCUCCAACAAAUUUACCUUAAAGUUGAUCCAUGACAUUCUUAGUUCAAAGUUGCUGUCAAAUUCCUAUCGAGUAUUGACGAACAAAGCAUUAUGAAAAUGAAGAUUCGGUCAAAAACACUCCAAGCGCUAUUUCUCCAUACUUGAAUUCAAUUGCACAUAUAUGCUACAUGGCAGAAGUUCUGAAGGACAGGAAAAUAUUCAUUGUUAUGUUAAACAAUAUCCUUCAAAUAUAACAAGUAUUACGCUGUCAUUACAUUCUGUCUUCGAGCCUAGAUCCUACCUUAGCACUUAGCAACACAACAUAAUGCAUAAUGCAACAGUAUCGUCACUGCAUCAAGAGACAUACUCCAACAGGAUAUCUAAUCAUAACAGUUAACAUAAUUCAUGAAGAACAAUAAGUGAUGGCAAGAAAGCCAUGGAAGUUGUGGACAAAUAUUCAAAGACAAUACUGGUAUGAAAUGAGAGAUGAUUUUCUCAAAAAAGAUGAACUUUUAAGGCAGGAGAAAAUAUUAUUUGUAGAACCUUCAGAAGCUGUAAAUUAUACAAAAAACUUUACCAGCUCUGGGAAUAACUAAAGUGUCACCUGCAGGAAGAAUAACCUUCUGCCUUGAAUAGAUACAAAGAUCUGGUUUUUCUUAAAUGCAAUAGUGGGGACAAAGUUUUAUUGAGCACGAAGAACUUGAGAGAACCAGAGAGAACUUGGAUAAUGAAAUGACAGGAAAACAUGAAAAAAAGUGAUAGGAAACCAAGCUUGGAAUGCAGGGAUAACAAAAAGCUCAUGAAUAGGAAAUAAGACGGUUCUCUCCUACUGAACUAAUCAAAUUGUUAUUUUUUGCUGUCUUGAUAGUAAUCAAGUUUCCCUGGUUCUUCAGAAGGGAAACCAUCAAAUUCAUGUUGUAUUUUGCAUAUAAAAAGGCCUGAAAGAAAUAUUCACCUCUUUCUCAAGUAAUUAUAUUUUAACUCGUUUAAAUUUCCAUUAGCACCAGUAGUUUGAUAAGAUACCUUAAACUAUAGAAAAUAAAGCUGACGUAAACCUCAAAGGGUCCACUUCAAAUAAUGUACAGUCAACUAGAAACUCUUGAGUUAUCAUUCCAGUGGAAAUAGACUUUCAUUUGCAUGCAGAAAUCCAUCCGUCACCAAGCAGAAUUCUCAAAUAAUUUCCCCCAAUAAGAAAUCAUAUGCAGACACUGAUACAGAGACAAUCAAUGCAAUUAAUGAAAGCUUCAUGAUAAUAAUGCCAUAUUAGUCUCUGGAAUUGCACAUUUACUUGCCAGUCAACAAGAAUGCCAUAAUGAACGUGUCAGUCUAUUCAUCAUCAAGCAGAACGGAAUCUUCAGACCACCUCCCCAUCCAAAAAAAAGGAUAUGCACCCACAUAGAGGAAAACAAAUUAGCUAUUAAUGCAAGCUAAUGUGCUAAAUUAUUGUAUGAAAUGUCAAUACCUUGUUUUAAUCCUGCAACAGCGCAUAAAAAGUUGUGGUCUCGAUUGUGGUGUGUGCUCGAUCUAGCUUGACCAUUGUUCAUCCACAAAUAGAUAGAAGCCGGUGCUUUACGCUUCAAAGAUGCAGGCUGCACAAGUAAACAAAUUAAUUUAAGAGCUAAGCUACAAAGUAAAACAAAAUAUGCAUAGUUGUCAAUGCUGAGCCGAAGAAUAUAUGAGGAAAGAAAAUUAGCUAAGAAUAAUCUUAAA